This 474-nucleotide unclassified non-coding RNA is filed under the name Bombus terrestris (buff-tailed bumblebee). Its description in RNAcentral is "misc RNA ENSBTSG00005023611.1". Lineage: Eukaryota; Metazoa; Arthropoda; Insecta; Hymenoptera; Apidae. The record is from RNAcentral.
UCGAAAAGCGGAAUCGUCAUUUCGUAGCCAGUUCUGCAUUCUGUCAGGGUUCCUUUCUGGCAUCACGUCUCGAUCGUGGCUUUUUUCUUCCUGUUCGAAGACAUAAUCAAUUCCGUUUCUUAUUCUUGCGUCCAUAGCUUUGGGCACGUCUUUGUUGUAAAGCGGUAAUGAUCUUUUUCCGAUAGUUUUUAGAAUACGUCGAUUUGCGUCAAUUUGCUGUUGAUCCUGCAAAGCUUUACGCCGGGCAAGUUCAAGAAGAACUCUCUGUCGUAACACGUCCAAGGAAUUCACGAUCGACAAUGAUCCAAUGCGUUUUGAUUCCAAUCGUUUCGUCCGGACUACCGUUGAUUCAGGAUCGUUUCCCGACGAGACAAGUGCGUUCGUGUAGUUGUUCCUCCGACGUCUUAUUUAUAGCAAGAAGAACGCGACGCAGGAGCGACAAACGAGAAGGUCAAGUUCGAUGGUGAAUGAAUC